This 424-nucleotide ribosomal RNA is filed under the name uncultured bacterium. RNAcentral's name for it is "bacterial SSU rRNA". It matches the Rfam family "Bacterial small subunit ribosomal RNA", at positions 355 to 775 of the family's 1533-position model. The record is from RNAcentral.
UGAGGAAUAUUGGUCAAUGGGCGCAAGCCUGAACCAGCCAUCCCGCGUGCAGGAAGACGGCGCUAUGCGUUGUAAACUGCUUUUCCAGGGGGAGAAACUUGCGCACGUGUUGCGCAAUUGACGGUACCCUGGGAAUAAUCAUCGGCUAACUCCGUGCCAGCAGCCGCGGUAAUACGGAGGAUGCAAGCGUUAUCCGGAUUCAUUGGGUUUAAAGGGUGCGUAGGCGGACUAUUAAGUCAGUGGUGAAAUCCUGCAGCUUAACUGCAGAACUGCCAUUGAUACUGAUAGCCUUGAGUUUGGUUAAGGUAGGCGGAAUGUGUAAUGUAGCGGUGAAAUGCUUAGAUAUUACACAGAACACCAAUUGCGUAGGCAGCUUACUGAGCCGACACUGACGCUGAGGCACGAAAGCGUGGGGAUCGAACAG